Populus nigra (black poplar) is the source of this 877-nucleotide long non-coding RNA. RefSeq lists it as uncharacterized. The record is from RefSeq and is a predicted model, not a curated record. The transcript has 3 exons. Lineage: Eukaryota; Viridiplantae; Streptophyta; Magnoliopsida; Malpighiales; Salicaceae.
UAUGUACUGUAUAUACAUAUUGGAUAUGUACUAGAGAAGCUGGGGUUGUGGAAACUCUACUUAUAUAAUGCAUGAACUAGCACUACUAAAAACAGGGGGCAUUUGCAUCUGAAUUUAGCAACGGAAUUAUCCGUUGCUAAAUUCAGUAACGGAUUUGCAACGGAUUACACAUAUAUUAUUUUUUUAAUAUUAGCAACGGACUUUAGCAACGGAUAAUCCGUUGCAAAAUUUACGUUGAAUUUAGCAACGGAUUUUCCGUUGCUAAUUGAAAAAAAAUAAAUUAAAAUGUUAAAAUUAUGUAGACCGUUGAUUGCAUAAAAUCUGAACCGUUUAUUUUCACUCUCUCCCCCCACACCGAAAUACAGAUCCAACAACCAUUUACGCUGAAAAUUAAUUUACUUCCACUCUUCCAGUAUCCUUCUUCGUCCCUAAUAACAUCGAUUCCUAACUGUUCAAAAAUCACCCUCUCUUCAUCGAUUUCAUCUUCCUUUACCCGAAACUGUUCAUCAUCUUCGCACUCGUCUUCGGCAACCCUAUUUUUUUUCUUCAUCUUCUUCUCCUUCAUCUUAACAGUUUCAAUAUUUCUCUGCAAACCAACAAAAACAGAGACCCAUGGCAACAUCGCACCAGAUCCAUCGAUUUCACCAUCGAACAUCCUGUUUUACCCCUUCUCUGUAAACGGGUUAGGUUUUGCACUGUUUUCUUCGAUAGCUCAGGUGUUAUUCUGUCGUGUUGAUCCAUCUCCCUCACCUGUAACUGAAGAACACAGGUUUUUAAGCGUGGCAUCAAGUUAUCUUCCUCAAUAAUUAAUCAGCCUUUGGGUUCUUCUUGGCACGAAAGCGGUGUGUUGCGUUCUUACUAUUAUUUAAUAUGGUCU